RNAcentral lists this ribosomal RNA (204 nucleotides) under uncultured Leptolinea sp. RNAcentral describes it as "partial 16S ribosomal RNA". It matches the Rfam family "Bacterial small subunit ribosomal RNA", at positions 1179 to 1377 of the family's 1533-position model. The record is from RNAcentral. Lineage: Bacteria; Bacillati; Chloroflexota; Anaerolineae; Anaerolineales; Anaerolineaceae.
AUGACGUCAAGUCAGCAUGGCCUUUAUGUCCUGGGCUACACACACGCUACAAUGGCCAGCACAGUAGGUUGCGAAACCGCGAGGUGGAGCCAAUCCCUAAAGUUGGCCUCAGUUCAGAUUGUAGGCUGCAACCCGCCUGCAUGAAGAUGGAGUUGCUAGUAAACGCAGGUCAGCUACACUGCGUUGAAUACGUUCCCGGAGAUU